Molecule: long non-coding RNA, 447 nt
Organism: Oreochromis aureus
Lineage: Eukaryota; Metazoa; Chordata; Actinopteri; Cichliformes; Cichlidae
Exons: 3
Source: RefSeq, a predicted model, not a curated record
UGCCAGUGUAGCAGAAAUGAUGACAGAUGAUGAUGGCAGCAGCAGCCGUUCUUCUCUGCUUCUGAUCUCUCUGCUGAGCUACACAGGUGCUGAGGUACUUUACUGGGCUGCUGGUCAGACGAGGCUUCUCUGGAGCUCUUUGUCCAGCUCGGGUGUUUCAGCACCAAGGACAGCGUGCAGCUCUCUGAGCUUCAGCAGCAGAACUGAAUCCACAGACUUUAGCAGCAGCACAGGAAGUGACACACACAUAACUGCUCACAUGCUUUUUAAAGGUUCAUUUAUUAUUGUUUGUGUUACAUUCAUUCAUAACCAAAUUUGAAUUAAUCAGAUGAUCAGUGUUUGACUGCUGUCUGUCUUCAGUGUGUCACUCAAUACUUUAUCAUUAAAACAGAGAGUUGAGGUGUUUUGCUGUUUGAAAAACUACAAACUCAUAAACAUGUGAGUCAG